This 437-nucleotide ribosomal RNA is filed under the name uncultured bacterium. RNAcentral describes it as "bacterial SSU rRNA". It matches the Rfam family "Bacterial small subunit ribosomal RNA", at positions 958 to 1392 of the family's 1533-position model. The record is from RNAcentral.
AACGUGAAGAACCUUACCAAAUCUUGACAUACCACUGAUCUACACUGUAAAGGUGUACUCUGCUUCGGCAGCAGUGGAUACAGGUGGUGCAUGGUUGUCGUCAGCUCGUGUCGUGAGAUGUUGGGUUAAGUCCCGUAACGAGCGCAACCCCUAUUUUUAGUUGCCAUCAGGUAAUGCUGGGCACUCUAAAGAGACUGCCAGAGAUAAUCUGGAGGAAGGUGGGGAUGAUGUCAAAUCAUCAUGCCCUUUAUGAUUUGGGCUACAAACGUGCUACAAUGGUCGGUACAACAGGUUGCCAAGCCGCAAGGUGGAGCUAAUCCCAAAAACCGAUCUCAGUUCGGAUUGGGGGCUGCAACUCGCCCCCAUGAAGUUGGAGUUGCUAGUAAUCGCGAAUCAGCAUGUCGCGGUGAAUGCGUUCCCGGGCCUUGUACACACCG